This 57-nucleotide non-coding RNA is filed under the name Helianthus annuus (common sunflower). Lineage: Eukaryota; Viridiplantae; Streptophyta; Magnoliopsida; Asterales; Asteraceae. The record is from RNAcentral.
CACUGGUCAAGAGCUGGCGCCGCUUCCUGAUGAGUCCAAGGCAGGACGAAACCAGUG